GACCUUGAAAACUGAGCUGAUGGUCCAC
Molecule: small RNA, 28 nt
Filed under: Bombyx mori (domestic silkworm)
Lineage: Eukaryota; Metazoa; Arthropoda; Insecta; Lepidoptera; Bombycidae
Description: ovarian small RNA-15521
Source: RNAcentral